This 502-nucleotide ribosomal RNA is filed under the name Bifidobacterium bifidum. RNAcentral describes it as "bacterial SSU rRNA". It matches the Rfam family "Bacterial small subunit ribosomal RNA", at positions 187 to 701 of the family's 1533-position model. The record is from RNAcentral. Lineage: Bacteria; Bacillati; Actinomycetota; Actinomycetes; Bifidobacteriales; Bifidobacteriaceae.
CGCAUGUGAUUGUGGGAAGAUUCUCAUCGGCGUGGGAUGGGGUCGCGUCCUAUCAGGUUGUUGGUGAGGUAACGGCUCACCAAGGCUUCGACGGGUAGCCGGCCUGAGAGGGCGACCGGCCACAUUGGGACUGAGAUACGGCCCAGACUCCUACGGGAGGCAGCAGUGGGGAAUAUUGCACAAUGGGCGCAAGCCUGAUGCAGCGACGCCGCGUGAGGGAUGGAGGCCUUCGGGUUGUAAACCUCUUUUGUUUGGGAGCAAGCCUUCGGGUGAGUGUACCUUUCGAAUAAGCGCCGGCUAACUACGUGCCAGCAGCCGCGGUAAUACGUAGGGCGCAAGCGUUAUCCGGAUUUAUUGGGCGUAAAGGGCUCGUAGGCGGCUCGUCGCGUCCGGUGUGAAAGUCCAUCGCUUAACGGUGGAUCUGCGCCGGGUACGGGCGGGCUGGAGUGCGGUAGGGGAGACUGGAAUUCCCGGUGUAACGGUGGAAUGUGUAGAUAUCGGG